CAGUCGCCGCGGGAAUACGUAGGGUGCAAGCGUUAAUCGGAAUUACUGGGCGUAAAGCGUGCGCAGGCGGUUGUGUAAGACAGGUGUGAAAUCCCCGGGCUUAACCUGGGAAUUGCAUUUGUGACUGCACGACUAGAGUGUGUCAGAGGGGGGUGGAAUUCCACGUGUAGCAGUGAAAUGCGUAGAUAUGUGGAGGAACACCAAUGGCGAAGGCAGCCCCCUGGGAUAACACUGACGCUCAUGCACGAAAGCGUGGGGAGCAAACAGGAUUAGAUACCCCCGUAGUCCCUGUCUCUUAUAC
Molecule: ribosomal RNA, 301 nt
Filed under: uncultured bacterium
Lineage: Bacteria
Description: partial 16S ribosomal RNA
Rfam family: Bacterial small subunit ribosomal RNA
Source: RNAcentral